RNAcentral lists this ribosomal RNA (2847 nucleotides) under bacterium. RNAcentral describes it as "23S ribosomal RNA". It matches the Rfam family "Bacterial large subunit ribosomal RNA". The record is from RNAcentral. RNAcentral also lists the same sequence under 1 other name.
AAACAAGCUGUUAAGAGCAUAUGGUGGAUGCCUUGGUGCUAACAGGCGAUGAAGGACGUGAUAAGCUGCGAUAAGCUUCGGGGAGCGGCAAAUACGCUUUAUAACCCGGAGAUUUCCGAAUGGGGUAACCUGGCUGAGGUCAUACUCAGUCGUUCCAUCCUGAAUAAAAUAAGGAUGGAUACGCGAUACCCGGUGAAGUGAAACAUCUCAGUAACCGGAGGAAAAGAAAGAGAAUCGAUUCCGUCAGUAGUGGCGAGCGAAAGCGGAAUAGCCCAAACCGAGGCCUUUGGUCUCGGGGUUGUAGGGCCCCGAUGUGGGAUUGUUAAUGUUAGGUUAAGUGUGUGGAAAAGCACUCCAAAGAAGGUGAAAGACCUGUGACCGAAAACUGCGACAGCCCUAGGGAGUCCCUGAGUAGUGCCGCACACGUGAAACGUGGCAUGAAUCUGCGCCGACCACGGCGUAAGGCUAAAUACUAGUUAGCGACCGAUAGUGAACCAGUACCGUGAGGGAAAGGUGAAAAGUACCGCUGCGAGCGGAGUGAAAUAGAACCUGAAACCAUAUGCUUACAAGGUGUCAAAGCUCUCUUGAAGAGUGAUGGCGUGCCUUUUGCUUAAUGAGUCUGCGAGUUAGUGUUUGUAGCAAGCUUAAGUCCUUCUGGGACGCAGGCGUAGCGAAAGCGAGUCCGAAUAGGGCGAUCAAAAGUUGCAGGUGCUAGACCCGAAACGGAGGUGACCUACCUAUGGCCAGGUUGAAGCGUCAGUAAAAUGACGUGAAGGACCGAACCGGUGAAUGUUGAAAAAUUCUCGGAUGAGCUGUGGGUCGGAGUGAAAGGCUAAUCAAACCCCGUGAUAGCUGGUUCUCCUCGAAAUGUAUUUAGGUACAGCGUCGCAUGCUGAUUAAGGGGGGUAGAGCACUGAAUGAGCUAGGGCCCAUACCCGGGUACCAACCUCAAUCAAACUCCGAAUACCCUUAAGUGAAGUGCGGCAGUGAGACUGCGGGGGAUAAGCUUCGUAGUCGAAAGGGAAACAGCCCAGAUCAGCAGCUAAGGUGCCAAAAUACCGCUAAGUGGAAAGGAGGUGGGGUUACUUAGACAGUGAGGAUGUUGGCUUAGAAGCAGCCACCAUUUAAAAAGUGCGUAAUAGCUUACUCAUCGAGUGAUCCUGCGCCUAAAAUAAUUGGCGAUUAAGCGGUAUACCGAAGCUCUGGAUGCAUACAUUCUACGGACUGUAUGUGUGGUAGAGGAGCGUUCUCAGAGCCUUGAAGCUGGAUGGUAAUUGAAAGUGGAGUUCUGAGAAGUGAGAAUGCAGACAUGAGUAACGAUAAGCCGGGUGAGAUCCCCGGCCGCCGUAAACCCGAGGUUUCCUGGGCAAUGCUGGUCAUCCCAGGGUUAGUCGGGACCUAAGUCGAGGCCGAUAGGCGUAGACGAUGGAUAGCUGGUUAAUAUUCCAGUACCUCCUGAACCCAAAACAACAGGGACGCAGGGCGAAAAGCAACUAAGUGAUUGAAUUCUGAGGGGCGGCUACGGCCAAACCGUAUUGCUGGAAGCACUGCCAAGAAAAGCUGUUGAAUCGUGCUAAAGGAGCCCGUACCGUAAACCAACACAGGUGGGUGGGUAGAGUAUACCAAGGCGUAAGAGUGAAACCUGGUUAAGGAACUCGGCAAAAUAGCCCCGUAACUUCGGAAUAAGGGGUGCCCUCUCUUUUGAGGGCCGCAGUGAAAGGGGUCAACCGACUGUUUAGCAAAAACACAGCAUUGUGCGAAGACGAAAGUCGAAGUAUACGAUGUGACACGUGACCAAUGCCAAAAGAUUAAGGUAAGGUGUUAGCUUCGGCAAAGCUCUGAACCCAAGUCCUGGUGAAUGUCGGCCGUAACUAUAACGGUCCUAAGGUAGCGAAAUUCCUUGUCGGGUAAGUUCCGACCUGCACGAAUCGUGCAACGAGUUGACCACUGUCUCAACCAGGAGCUCAGUGAAAUUGUAGUGUCGGUGAAGAUGCCGGCUACCCGCAGAAGGACGGAAAGACCCUAUGAACCUUAACUGUAAGCUGUCACUGGUUUUUCGAUUUCGAUGCUCAGUGUAAGUGGGAGACUUUGAAGUUGUGCUUUCGGGCACGAUCGAGUCGUCAAUGAGACACCACCCUUUGGAUUUGGAAAAUCUAACAUCCUGCCUUGAAUCAGGCGGAUGGACAAUGGCAGCCGGUCAGUUUUACUGGGGCGGUAUCCUCCCAAAAAGUAACGGAGGAGCGCGAAGUUUGGCUCAGCAUGGUUGGUAAUCAUGUGUCGAGUGUAUAGGCACAAGCCAGACUAACUGUGAGACCUACAAGUCGAGCAGAUACGAAAGUAGGCCUAAGUGAUCCGGUAGUUGAAUGUGGAAUUGCUAUCGCUCAACGGAUAAAAGGUACUCUAGGGAUAACAGGCUGAUCGCGCCCAAGAGUUCAUAUCGACGGCGCGGUUUGGCACCUCGAUGUCGGCUCGUCGCAUCCUGGGGCUGGAGAAGGUCCCAAGGGUUGGGCUGUUCGCCCAUUAAAGCGGCACGCGAGCUGGGUUCAGAACGUCGCGAGACAGUUCGGUCCUCUAUCCUCUGUGGGCGUAGGAAAAUUGAGGGGUUCAAAUCCUAGUACGAGAGGACCGGGUUUGACGUACCUCUGGUGAUCCAGUUGUUCCGUCCGGGGCAUUGCUGGGCAGCUAAGUACGGAAUAGAUAAGCGCUGAAAGCAUCUAAGCGCCAAGCUACUCCCAAGAUAAAUUUUCCCUGAAGGAUCGUGGUAGACGACCACGUCGAUAGGCUACGGGUAGAAGUGUGGCAACACAUGCAGCUUAGUAGUACUAAUCAUCCGUUUGGCUUGUUUCA